Molecule: long non-coding RNA, 264 nt
Filed under: Panax ginseng (ginseng)
Lineage: Eukaryota; Viridiplantae; Streptophyta; Magnoliopsida; Apiales; Araliaceae
Description: long non-coding RNA (PGIN_LNC001972)
Source: RNAcentral
UACUCUACAGUAACCCCUUAUACAAUUUGUUGGCAGAACAUGAAAAGAGUAAAUGCAAUGUUGCUUUUGCAUUUUGUUGACGCAUAAAAUGCCACAAGAUAUGAGAAGGAAAAAUAACAAACAUUCGGUAUAAAUAAAUUAGGAACCAACUUUGAUUUUCUUGGGUUUAGAUCUCUCAACUAUAUUGCCAUCAUAAGAAUUCCCGGAUCGUCCUCAAUGCUCUGUUGUCACUGUUGCACAAGCAAUAACAACAAAUUUAAUAAA